Molecule: non-coding RNA, 7085 nt
Organism: Caretta caretta (loggerhead turtle)
Lineage: Eukaryota; Metazoa; Chordata; Testudines; Cheloniidae
Source: RefSeq, a predicted model, not a curated record
UCAACACCUCCCCUUUUUCCACCGUUAAUUCAUUGUCAUGGAAACUGAAUUUAUCAAAAUGUUCUCGUUCACUCCUAGUGACCCAGUGAGUCGACUUACAGAGCUGGUGAAAGCAUUUUCCUUUGCUGAUUUCUAGCCCAAGGAUACAAAAAUCCCUCAGCUCUUCAUCACAAUCAUCUCUCCUUAUCUCUUGUUAAAGAUUUUCAUCAGGAUCACUCCAACUUCCGGAGAGUUACUGCUGAUUUACACUGGUGUAAGUGAGAAGAACAUCAGGCCCAAUCUGAAGGACCUGACUUAGAGACAACUGCAAAGGAUUUCAGAGACGCUAUCCUCAGUUCCCCCUGCUGUGCCUUGCAAUCAUCCGUGGCUGGGGAGGAGGAUGGAAGGGGAGAGAGAGAGAGCGAGCGAGCUGUUGAGUAAAUGAAGCAUUACCCAUGACUGCUGCACCACCACCGUCUGUGCUUGUACAAGCACCGUAUACCCGCUUCCGAGCAUAACAAAGGUAACUCAUUUCCUCGUGCUUUCCAUGCUCAAGGACAACAGUUACCUUCACCACAGAGAGAAUAAGGACUGGCUGGUGUAAUUUUGGAAAUAUGUAGCAAUUACUCGCUGCAGAAACUCAGAUCCCAGCUCUUCUUAAUGAAGAAUGACAAAGACCUGGGUUCAAAGAGGGUGGCCCACAGCUGCAAAGGUUCACUAUUCUGUACCAUUAGUUUGCAGAACCCCCACAUGGAUUAACUAUCCUUUCCUUUUUUCCUCCCUUCUUUCCAACUUGUUUUCAUGAUCUGGUCAGCUUCUUAGUGUCUCAUCUAUUCCUCUCUUCUUUUCCUUUGCAUGGUGUGCUUACUAAUGAUCAGAUUAGGCUCAUUUGAUUAUUCCCUCUUUAUAUUACCUCUGUUUUUGACUUACUAUAUCUUAAAAUUUAAGAAUAUUUAUGCUUUCUUGACAUAACCUAUUCACUUACUUUAUUUAAAUGAAUGGCAUCAAAUGUUUCCUUAUUUUCCAAAUUCUUUUAACCAUGCAGUCUUUGUAGUUUUCCAUACUCAGGUGAAACCUCCUUGGUUUCUUUUAUUGUUCUCUAUAUAUGUAUGUAUCCAGGCAGAAAUACGCUUAAAGUGCUGGCUUAAAAUAACAAAAUUCAAGAAGUUCAGAAUUAAAGCUCAUUUCAGUGUGAUAUGCCUAAGUAUACAUCACAGCUGUAUAAAGCUAUACUCUGCUGUAUGUGUUUGAUUCCUCCUGAAAUGGACACAAUCAGAUAGGUAAAGCUGGAACACGUAGCUUAAUACUUGAAUUUCCAGGUUUUAUUCAGUUUAAAACAGACACUUGGCAAUUUUUAAUGGGGGUGAAGGGUUGGUUUGUUUGUUUGCGUAUUUAUUUGUUUUGUUUCAUGUUUACAAUUACUCUGUGAAGAUAAUUUUGGAUGAAAAUAAGCAAAUAUAUCUGAAGAGAGGGUCUGAGAGAUAUCUGAAGAGCUGACCUCCCUGCUUUGAAUUGGAAGUUGUUUGGAACAAUAGUUGUCCUUUCUGAAUUUUACCUGCUGAGUGUUGGUUUUGGAACAAUAGAUUUUUCAAAAGCACUUAGGAGCACAAGUCUCAUUUAUUUUACAUGGCACAUAGACACCUAAGUCCCUUUGUGGAUCUAGCCUUAGGUGACUUUGGAGCACAACUGCUACUUUAGGAACCAAAGUCCAAAAUUUAGAUUCUCAAACCCUCCCACUCAGUUGCCACUCAACUUUGUAGGUGCCUAAAGUCCCCAGGCAUCUAGGCCUCUGUCAACAAAGUCUGGUAAGUUACUAUAAAUCUGCCAGUGAACAUGCAAAUUGAUGUCUAAGUCUCAAUCUCCUGCACCUAUCUCCUGUAUAAGACUCUGAGGGAUCCUCAGACUCGUCUUUCCCCUGUGCAAUCUGGUAAGCAUUUUCAGAGGCUAACUGAUCAGUCCCCACACAAAACACACCUGCUGAAGGAGUUGGUAGUGGUGCCCCCAUAAUCUUUAGCCCAGAGCUCUCACCCUGGAUAUGGGAGACCUGGGUUCGAAUCCUCACUUGGCCUAAUAUAGAGCAGGGAUUUGAGCCUCUGUUGCCCACUUUUUUAGGACAGGGCUUCAACUACUUGGCUAUGGGAUAUUCUUCCCUAGGAAUCACUCCUGUUGGAACUAUUCCACUUUGUACAAAUAAUCAUUGGAGCAGGGACUUGAGUUUGGGUUCCUGAGUGCUCUAAUCACUUGGCUAUAGAGUCAUUCUCACUCUGUUUCAAAGACUAUUUAAUUAUUUAUACAAAGUGGAAGAACUUCAGAAGGAGAGCCAUCUAUCCCAGGGUAUGCCAUAGGCUACUGGUUAGGGCACUGUUCGAGCUUUAAGGUAGGCUGGGGUAGGGCUUGUCAACUCCCUAGAACGUGCUGCAAAUUGUAUAGUUGAACAUUAUUUCUCCAGAUAAUUGUCUGUCACCACAUUACUUCACUGGGCUUUGAAGGAACUCAGUGCCUUGCAGGAGUUGCUGACACCUUCUAGGACUGGACCUUAAAUCUAUACAACUGUCCAGAAUAACUAAAAAAAUCUUACACUCCUAUUGCUUGUCCAAAGUUGAUUAUAAAAAAGAAAAAUAAAGUGUAUAGCACUGGGAAACUGCUGAUGUCCACAUGUGAUGGGGGAAAAAAAAGGCAGAGAGAGAGAAAACAAGGUUGAUCAUUAACAAAUACAGAUCACGGCUCUUGUUAGCACUGAGCUAGUUGCUUUUGCAAAGCCAGUCAAAGGAGGUUAAACCCUGGGGUAAUACACUAAUAUUCUCAAAGGUGGUAGCUGUUGCUUUAAUUUUGAGCACUUCAUAUCUGUUUAUUCUCUAACCUUAAUUGUGUUGGACUAUAAUAACCUUACAAAAAUCAUUUAUAAAAAUUGGGCUGAUUUUGAAUGCUGUUAAAUAAUACUAAUUUGUUGCUCUCAUGCUCUGCCAGUGUUUUAAUGUUUGUAGAGCAAAUAAGGAAUUUCUAAACAGUCCCAGAGGGGCAUUGUGCUAAUUCUUUGUGUGAGAAAAGCCUAAUAAUUUGAGCAUGCCUUAAGCACUACUAGUUUAUGAUAAGGACUUUAUAAAAAUGCAAUGGCUCUUUAACUGAUGGCUCAGUUAAAAUACUAUGGAGUAUAAUUGGCUAGGAAAGGAAAAUUCUAUUCUCCCAUGGAUUGUAUAUAAGUGAAUGAAGCUUCCUAUUCUCCCCAUAAAUGCACUUCAAAGUGUAAGUGGGAUUCCUCUAUGAAGAUCUUAUUGUUUAGGGUCACUAUGUUUGAAGGUAUGAAUACUUUUGGCAUUAAGAGCUUUCCCUCUCUAAAAAAAGUCCUCUCCUAAGUGGAUGUAUUACUUUAAAAAGAGAGAGAAAGAGAAACGCUGUGGGAUGAACAACUCUCAUCUUGGCAUGUCUAUUGCAAAUCCACACAAAUUCAUGUACUGGGUGUUCCUAAUACAAAAAGGAUAUUUUACUAAAUAACUCUUUCUGAGGUGCUAAGGGCCAGCAACAUGAAAAUAAGAGGCAUCAUUUCCACUUAACAAAUUACGAACUAUACAAUCAAGAUAAGAGUGAUUUAUGAUCCGCUUGCUAGACCAGUCACACAAGUGCACUGCUUUUAGAAUUCAGUGAAAGGCAGACGCAUUGUCAGCUAUUGAUAUUAUUAACAAGUGACAUUAAUGUAUCACUGUAUGGGAAUGUACGUAGUUUAAUAUUCAAUGGAGAGCUCUAAUUGUAGUUAGCUGUUUGGAAUAUGCACAUCCAUUAUUCACAGAUGCAAGAUGUGGAUUUUUAUUGAUUUCUUUUGACUAUGUAUAAAAAAAGCAGUUAAAACAUCUUAUUGUUGAUCACUUUUUACACAUGUGUGAAGUAGCCUGGUCAAAGCUGCAGGAGCAACACAAAGAGAAGACUGUGACAGGAGAUGCAGAUAUAGCAGUCUCUUACGCUAUAUCAUUUUAGGUUUUCACCCACUGAAAGCCUAAUGGAACUGCAUUACUUUGUAUUCCUGUGAAUAAGGACUUGCACACAUUCUGCAUGAUAAUGUGCACUUUGGGUUAAAAUGUGCACUUCUGGGCUAAACUAAUAUUUUUUUCCACAGGCAGACAUAGCUGCAAUUUCAAUGUGCACUGUUUUUAAAAGCUUCUCUUAUGAAACCAUUUCUUCAGGAAUCAGGGCACAUGUGUGUAGAAAGAGCAUAAAUAUGGUAGUGCAUUUUUCUUUCACCUCCAGUCCCCUCUGUGUAUUAUGUUGACCUUCAGUGGGACUUGUGGACCCAAGCCUGUUAGAUGCUUUUAAAAAUGUCACCCUGAAUGUACUUUAAACAUUGUUGAAGAUUGCUAUGAUUUCUUUUAUGUUUCCCUAUCAUAUUUGUUAGAGUCACUUAACUAGUCACAUAGUUUGAAUUGUCUACAUAUGAUCCUGUUUUCCGCAUAUGGUAUUGACUAACGCUACUCUUAAAAGAAUGGUUAAUUCGAGUCUUCUGUAAGGUUUUGGACUUAGAUGUUGUCUUUGUAAGAAUUCCAUUGGCUCCCAUAAAUGUAAGUUGUCAUUAUUUCUCUCACUUCUCUGGCAUCAUACCUUUGAUCUUCAAUUUGCAUAGUGUGUGGUGGCUGUCUCACUAUGGUGAGGUAACAGCUAUAGUUGGCUUCCUGCUAUUUUCAAGUACAACUAUUAGUCUGGACAACGGUUUUCUUAGCCAUCGUAAUAGCUUUGUUUCUUCUGUUGUUGUUCAAAUUUUAUUUGUAAGUCCAGAUUACAAAGCUUAGGUCUGAGUUGCUGGGCUUGUUUUUGACUGAUGUCCCAUUAGUACUUGUGAUAGAAAUGUUAAGUCUCGAUUGGCAAAUUCCCAAGAUUCAGUUGGAUUAAGCAGAGUUCUUUAUUAUAAUAUUCACAAUAAUACUUAACUUUUAUAUAAUGCCUUUCAUCCAUAGAUGUAAAAGUGCUUUACAAAAGAAGACUAGUAUCACUAUUCCCAUUUUACAGAUAAAGAAACUGAGGCACAGAAAAGUAAAGUGACUUGCUGACGGUCACAUGUCCAGUUGGUAACAUAGCAAGUCCAGCACUCUAUACGCUACGUCAUGCUGUUUAAACGUCUUUCAUAGAGAUUGUAUGAUAUUCACUGAACUCUCAGCUACCUCAUCAUUUGGUGAAGCUGACGUGAUUUUUCUCAAGCUCUGCUAUGUCUUAGCAAAUACUUGAAAUCCCACACUUAAGUACUGCAGUCCACUGUCAGUGACAUAUUUUAUGUCACUCAUCAUAUUGUAGAUUGAUAUGGCUAAUCUUGGUACUACUGCUUCUCUUGGUCAUUUUGGAAAUCUCAAUGAAUGCAGAAUACUAAUCAAUUAAAAAUAAAUAGGUUUUUCUGACAGUUUGAAAGGGUCCCUAUGAAGGUAACAGGGAAAUGGAACAAGGUAAUAAAUAAUUUAUAACUGGAGAAAAUUAAUCAAGAACCCCCAAUUCCCACUGUCCCCACACACAGGUGCUCAAUUACACAACUUCUUAGAAGAGGCAAGAGAGCAAUAACUAGGUGUCUGUGACAUAAAUGACUUUUAUUAUUAGGGAAGAAGGUAUUCAAACAUAUAAAUACAGUAAAGUAAUCGAUUCAAAUUACAAUAUGAUAUGUUUAUUGUGUAGAGUGCUUUUUAUUAAGCUAUAUCCCAAAACUCUUUACAAAAUUAAAUAAUAUAUUUCACUAUAUCAUAUAAAUGACAGGUAUCAGCAAUAGUGUAGAGACUUUUUAUGGUGAAUGGAUGAGAUCAUAAAACAAUUCAGAGGAGGGAAGGAGGAAGAAAUUAGGAGGCAUAAAUGGGGGAGAAAAGAUUGUAUUUCAAGUAAAAUGUAAAGAAAGAUGGAGAGCUGAUGAGCUUGAUCUCACAUCAUUAAAAGUGAUGGAAGUUAUUCCAUUGGCUUCAUUGGGAGCAGGAUCAAGUAGUAAGAGAGUAACAAGGAAGCACAGGGAGUGAAAGAGGAGAAGACUUUUGUCAACAGAGGGGAAACUAUAUGAAGAGACAAGAAAAUUGCAGAUUUGGGUGAAAGGAGGGAGCAGGGAGGAAAGUAACGAGGGACGGGAGGUCCCUGGAGAGGUUUAAUAAUGAUCCACCAAUAAUGAAUGGAAUGAUUCAUUCCAUUUUGACACCAGCAUAGCUCUGCUGAAAUUAGCUAACUGAAAUCAGUGGAGCUACAUCAGCAGAAAAGUAGAGGAGUGUUGCUUCGGUGAAUCAAGACCAUGGAACAGCAUCUUGAAAUGGCUUCUGAGGUGAAUGCAGAGCCAGUGGAGUUGUUUGAGAAGGGGGAAGAUGUUGCCAUGUUUCUCUGUAUGUGUGUGAAGUCAGGAAGCAGAGGUGAACAAAUGCUGGUGUCUAGAAGUCUAGGAUUUGGGGAGGCCAUACAUAAGUGAAUUGCAAUAGUUCAGGUGAGAGGAAAUGAAGGCAUGGAUAUAGAUUCUGUAUGUUAGUGAGAACAAACCUCUCUAUUCCAUUGCUAACUUUGCCAUCCUUCUAUAUACAGGUGUGUAGCGAGCUUACUUAGAAAUUUAGUUGUGGCACUUGACUCUGAUGGGGUUGAAACUCCUUGUGCAAAUUCAAUGGGAUGGUCACGUGGCUCUUCCAGUGCGAGAACCUGGUGUGGCUGCUGCCAUUUUUCAUUGGGCCUCCAUUUGGGCGAUUUGGAUUUGGAUUUUUUUUAAAUUAGCUGAGUGCCAGGAUACUUUGGCAGCAGUACCCUAGUAUAAACAACUAAAUUAAUGGCAUUACAUUCAAAAAUCCCUUCCUAGCUUUUUCGUGGCCUCCUGUUGGGUAUUUCAUGACCCUUCCUCAGCUCUGUUAUGUGGGGGACUCUUCUGAAUCCACGUGACUAAGUGACUAAUCAUGGCUGCUAUCUUUCCACUCAUUACAACACAGAAUACAUUCUCCUAUCCUUUUUCUUACAUUGCUCAGCACCUAGAUGGUGGCUGGAAGUUUAUUAAUAAGUAUCCCAUUUUUUAACAUUGGGAAAAUGUUACCUACUUAGUGCCUUCAUCUCUUUCCCAACUGACCAGGAUGAUCUCAAGUUGAGGGAUAAAACUCUGUACACUCUCUCUCUCUCUGACACCUCAUUAA